UCCCUCAGUAAUGGCGAAUGAACAGGGAUGAGCUCAGUAUGGAAAUUGGGGCCUGUGGCCUUGAAUUGUAGUCUGGAGAUGUACCACCAACUGGGGCGCAGAUGUAAGCCUCUUGGAAAAGAGCAUCAAUGAGGGUGAGAGUCCCGCAUGGCAUCUGCAGUCCCCAGUGCACGGUGUACCUUCUAAGAGUCACGUUCCUCGGGAUUGGAGCGCAAAUCGGGUGGUAAAUUUCAUCUAAAGCUAAAUAUAGUUUCGAGACCGAUAGCAAACAAGUACCAUGAGGGAAAGGUGAAAAGGACUUUGAAAAGAGAGUUAAAAGUGCCUGAAAUUGCUGAAAGGGAAGCGAAUGGAACCAGCGAAACUUGGCAAGAUUGCUGUGUGUCAAUGUGAUUGCUUGCUGCUGCAACGUAAGUGUGGUAGUAAGUCUUGAGCAGGACAUGCUCGGUGUUUCUUGCCUUGUGUGUCACCUGUGGUUCGUGAUUGAGGAAAACUUCAGGGACAUGGUAGCCUGUCUCCGGGUGGGUGAACGUGUCUGCUGGAACUCAUUCGUGGACUGCUUGGUGACUAAAUGGUUUCAUCCGACCCGUCUUGA
This 592-nucleotide ribosomal RNA is filed under the name Scrippsiella donghaiensis. RNAcentral describes it as "partial large subunit ribosomal RNA". It matches the Rfam family "Eukaryotic large subunit ribosomal RNA", at positions 76 to 657 of the family's 3401-position model. The record is from RNAcentral. Lineage: Eukaryota; Dinophyceae; Peridiniales; Peridiniaceae.